Molecule: RNA transcript, 4296 nt
Organism: Eriocheir sinensis (Chinese mitten crab)
Lineage: Eukaryota; Metazoa; Arthropoda; Malacostraca; Decapoda; Varunidae
Gene name: AT-rich interactive domain-containing protein 1B-like
Exons: 7
Source: RefSeq, a predicted model, not a curated record
AGUAUUGUCAGACGCCAGGCGAGACAGGAGACAUGCGCGGUGCUACCUUCCCUAGUAUUCGGCCAUUUUUGGUUCAUGGUGAUAAUAAAUAAGUGUCAUGGUAAACAAAAUGCAGUCAGAGUGAGGGAAAUGUCGCUCGUCAGUAAUAGCUGAGUUGGUAAAAUGCUGUAGAUAUGGCAGAAGACAAGUGAGUAAAACAUUUCAGGCGAAAACUGGAGUGUAACCUGAUAGAGCUGCUGAGAGGAUUUAAAGUGAUAGCAUCAGUUCCCGACCAAUUUUGCCGCGGAGAAAAAUAUGAUCAACCAGCUACGAUACGUCACGAGAAAGCUUCAGGGUCAAACUUUAAAUGAGGCUCCAGAUAGCGGCGGAAAGGUUGGCAGUGAAGAUCGGGACUCUGGCACCGAGUCUGAUGACGAACAGCCCUACGACGAUCCUGAGCCUGGUAUGUGUCACCUUGUACCUCAUCACCCUGCACCCAUCUUACCCCAGCACAAGCCACCUUACCCACUGCAUCCCAGCAGCCCUUACAACUCAAAGCAGUGAGAUGUCCAGUGAGGUGUCCAGUGGGUGCAGCGUGAGGUCACGCCCCACUAGCCAGACCAGCACAGACACCCUCACCUGCGACGACCUCCCAAUGGCUGCUGAUGCCCCAGAUAUGCCCCCCCCAGCCACCAUUCCCCCAUCCUCUAGCACUUCCUCCAUAGGCCCCUAUCAUCAUCCACACCCACACCAUCACCAUCAUCAACAUCACCACAACCAUCACCAUCACCACCAUCACCUCCAUCAUAGUCACAACCCACACUUAGGACGGAGAGCAAGGACUCCUCGCCAUCUCCACCCUCCCUUACGGACCUCAGACCUUCCAAGAGAGUCCCCAGCCUUAGAGUCUCCUAUAGAACCUUUCCCGGACUCUGAAUUUGUUAGUGAAUGUGAUGCGUGUGACCCUGUUGAACACCACUCAUCGGAAGAAGAGUUGGAAACACUCACAGGAUCCUGGCCAAGGGAAACGGGACCCCCAGAAAAGAGGAAAUGGUCACAAGUUGCAAGAGUAUCCCUUACAGAUUCAGGUAGCAGUGAUGAAGAAGUGUGUGGCUUGACCACAGGGCCUCGCCCACCCGUCCAAUUUAGAACCUCUCCUCCCCUUGAGGCCCACAAGCCACUGCGGUCUGUGUCUCCUCCUACCAAAGUGCUCAGUCUUGCAAACAGUGGGCGGGAAGGCAUGUCAUCAGUAGGUGGAGGAGAAACAAGUGGGUCACCUGGAGUUGCUGCUGGAAAUGAUGGUGGGACAACUCGAACUGAGAGUGGGCCCAGGGCAGCUUCUCCUCGCAAGAGGCAUAGGCAAACACCUCGCCCUCACCAGAUGCACCGCCCAUGUCUAGAUUUUGAAAAAAUGCAGCAGAUGCAAAAUCGAACAGUUACUCAGUGGAGGAAUGGUGGGGAACUUUCCCUCUCCUCCUGCUAGUUUUCUGCUCCCGAAGGGUGGCCAUUAAGAUCCCUCAAGCAAGUUGAGAUUGUGUUCUUUUGGGGGAACAAAGGUUGUAUAGGAGAAAGGAUACUAAUGCAGGUCUCAUCAUUUCAGUGUUGAAAGCUUUGUUAUUGCUUAUGUAAUAGCAAGCAAACCUAAUUGAAUACCUUUUGGUGGCACCUAGGAGAAGGCAUCAUAGUGACAGACCAGGAAAGGAGAAAAGUGAUUGAUAAUCAAUCUUAGUGAAAGUGAAAGUAAUUUUAGAAAAAGAAAACGGAUUGAUAAAACAAGUCUUCAGCAAUUAUUUAUCAGAGGAAUUAUUGAAAACACUUUGUGUGAGAUCUUAUUAAAAUGAUGUACCUUAAAGAAAUUGUGUCAAAGAAUGAUGGAAACUUAGUAACAAAAUAGUAUGCAAUGUGGAUGACUUUAAGAAAAUGUGGUGUGAGUGAAGGGCAAGUGCAGAAUAAUUGACAAAGGUCUUGCUUCUGAGUCACUGGAAGUGAAAUACCGUAAGGAUCUGGUCCUCCAUGUUCAUUGACAAAAUUUAAGUCAGUUGAUGUACAAAGUGACCCCCUGAGUCAAUUUCUUUGCCAGUGGCUGAGAAGAUGGUUGAACUCUGUCAAUCAAAAGUUCAAAUUUGUUAUUUUUUUUAUUCAAUGUUGAUUAUUAUGAUUAUUUUACUGUAAUUAUAACCCUUUACUGUUACUGGGUUUUUAAAGGAGUGCUUCAUGUUUCAAUAAGUGGACUUAAAGUUUAUUGUAUAGUAGAAAUACCUCCUCUGUUAUGUUGUUGAGAUGGUUUUUCACUGAUAGUUUUGUUCCUUUAUAUUCUGGAUAUAUCCCAACACUGUCAGGUAUACAGUUAUUAACAUAAUUUAAACAAUAUUUGUUUUGUAUAGUUAAAUGUCAUAUGAAAUAGUUUGUUUAAAUGCAUUUAGCCCACAGCGAAGUAAGUACGAAUCUCGCUUUUGAGUGAACUUUUUUGGGUUGUCAUGAGAGUGAAUGUUAGUUUGGUGACUGUUUGACGAUACUUUUGUUCUGAUUUCAAAAGGAAAAUCUUGAAAGAAAUGCAUUUAUUAGGUUAUAUUUUUUUGUAAUUUUAUUAUUGCUUUAAUCAAAUUGAAUUCAGUAUAUUCAAACAAUAAAGAAUAUGUUUUGUAUAUAUGUUACUUCAUUGAUUUUAAUUUGUAAAGUCAAAUAGUCACUUAACAGGGAAGAUGGUUGAGUUUUGGUACAGUGCACUGCAACUGGUCUGUUAUUCAUUUACGGAAAAUAACCCAUUCUUAUCUAGUCCAAAAAAUAAUUAAGAUGUAGGGUUGAAGAAAUUGUAAUAAUCAAUGAUGCAAGACUAGGUUGGCAAUGUCGGUGAGGAUACAAGAAGAGCAUACUUCAAAAAAGUAAUAUUGCACAGUGCACUGGAUCUCAAUGGUCUCCCUGGUGUUUGUUGGAACAAAGACAGAGCUAAGACAAGCUAGAGUUUAUCUGUUAAUUAUGACCCUGUAUCAUGGAUUGCCUUAUUUGAGAAUAUUAUGAGAGACACUGACUUCCCAUAUGGCAUGGUUAUUCAUCCUUAGAAAUUGAUCUUGUGUGCAAAAUGUGCAUGGAAUAUAAGUUUUUAGCUUGUAUCUACAGUGUAUUUCUAAUUUGCAUAUGUUCUCAAAUGCCAAUAUUCUGAUGCAAAUAAGGCCUAGUAUACAAGGUCAUAAUUUCAGUAAAACUCUGCUCAAUACACCGCCACAGUACAAAAGAGGUGGGCUGAGACAGGCAGAGUCUACCUCAGUGUUCAUGGUCAUGGAAAUAAAAUUGCUGUGUCAGAAAAAAGCAUUGCAAGCAAUGUGUUAUGUUAUCACAAUCUACUCAUGAUAUAUAUAAUAAAAGAUGCAAGGUUCUGCUAGUGAAGUGGAAACACUUAUUUGAUUUGUAAGGUAUAUAUCUAUUUCCAUUAACGAUAACGACUGAUGUUUUCACAACAUUAUCUUCCUCAUCACUGAAAAUUGUAACUUUCAAGGAAAAUAUUUGCUUUGAUAAAUAUUGUAAGAAUUGAUAAUUGACAUACAGUAAAAGUCCAAUAAUCCGAAUGGCAGCGGACUGAAGGUCAUUCAGAUCAUCGAACUGCUCAGCUUAUUGGGAGGGACUGACGAUAAUGUAAAAAUUAUUUGCAUAAUCACCAAUAAUAUAUAAAAGGGCUAAACAUCAGUUUUAGGAAGGUAAAUUCAUAUAAAGAGAGUGAACCAGACGUAAAAAGGCACAAAAUAGUAAAGCAGGAUUACUAAAAUGCCAAGCAACAAGGAUGUUCCAUUCGAAAGGAUAAUCCCUCUGACAGCCAUGGAGUAAAGUCAAAGCUACCAUGUAAUGUAUUUUCUCUUCAUUUAUUCACUUUUCUCACAUUUAUAAUAUUUUUACCCAGUUACUGUCCUGUGCAAAAUUCCUUGACCUACUGUGCUUGUCAUUUUCUUCAUCACUUUCACUCGUCCUCGAGCAAUGGCUUAGGACCAUCACUUGUAGAAGCCUGGGGAGCCAUCUUUCCGACAAUAUAGGGCAAAUAUAUGACUGCCAACAUCUACACUAAAUCUAAAUCUCUCGAGUCUCCUAUUUCACAUCCCAGAUGCUGGGUUCAGCAUGCUGCAUUUGUGGCCUUAUUUGUUUUAUGUAUUGUUCAUCAAGAAAUAUUUGUCAGCCACUUUAGAAAGUUUGGACUGUUGGGAUUUUCAGAAUAUCCAUGUUUGGAUUGUUGGACUUUUAUUGUGAUUGUUUUGUAAAAAUUUAUGGUUUGGCAAGCAGAUUUAAAAAAUAAUGAAUUAGGCAUCUAAGAACUCUGAAUAUAUAUAUAUA